AACACUGUUAACCUGCGGUACCUGCGGAGGGAUCAUUACAAGUGACCCCGGUUUACCACCGGGAUGUUCAUAACCCUUUGUUGUCCGACUCUGUUGCCUCCGGGGCGACCCUGCCUUCGGGCGGGGGCUCCGGGUGGACACUUCAAACUCUUGCGUAACUUUGCAGUCUGAGUAAACUUAAUUAAUAAAUUAAAACUUUCAACAAUGGAUCU
This 212-nucleotide unclassified non-coding RNA is filed under the name soil metagenome. RNAcentral's name for it is "partial contains 5.8S ribosomal RNA, internal transcribed spacer 2, and large subunit ribosomal RNA". The record is from RNAcentral.